UACGGAGGGUGCAAGCGUUAAUCGGAAUUACUGGGCGUAAAGAGCUCGUAGGUGGUUUGCCGCGUCGUCUGUGAAAUUCCGGGGCUUAACUCCGGGCGUGCAGGCGAUACGGGCAUAACUUGAGUACUGUAGGGGAGACUGGAAUUCCUGGUGUAGCGGUGAAAUGCGCAGAUAUUAGGAGGAAUACCGGCGGCGAAGGCGACUUUCUGGAAUCUUACUGACGCUGAGGUACGAAAGCGUGGGGAGCAAACAGG
This 254-nucleotide ribosomal RNA is filed under the name uncultured bacterium. RNAcentral describes it as "partial 16S ribosomal RNA". It matches the Rfam family "Bacterial small subunit ribosomal RNA", at positions 524 to 776 of the family's 1533-position model. The record is from RNAcentral.